CUGGCGGCGUCCCUAACACAUGCAAGUCGAGCGGAGGAUUCGAGAUGUUUACAUCGAAGGAUCCUUAGCGGCGGACGGGUGAGUAACACGUGGGUAACCUGCCUCAGAGUGGGGGAUAGCCUUUCGAAAGGAAGAUUAAUACCGCAUAAGAUUGCACUGCCACAUGGCAGAGCAAGAAAAGGACGCAAGUCCGCUUUGAGAUGGACCCGCGGCGCAUUAGCUAGUUGGUGAGGUAACGGCUCACCAAGGCCACGAUGCGUAGCCGACCUGAGAGGGUGAUCGGCCACAUUGGAACUGAGACACGGUCCAGACUCCUACGGGAGGCAGCAGUGGGGAAUAUUGCACAAUGGGCGAAAGCCUGAUGCACCAACGCCGCGUGAGUGAUGAAGGCCUUCCGGUCCCUAAAGCUCUUU
RNAcentral lists this ribosomal RNA (413 nucleotides) under uncultured bacterium. Its description in RNAcentral is "bacterial SSU rRNA". It matches the Rfam family "Bacterial small subunit ribosomal RNA", at positions 36 to 436 of the family's 1533-position model. The record is from RNAcentral.